GACGAACGCUGGCGGCGUGCCUAAUACAUGCAAGUAGAACGCUGAAGGAGGAGCUUGCUUCUCUGGAUGAGUUGCGAACGGGUGAGUAACGCGUAGGUAACCUGCCUGGUAGCGGGGGAUAACUAUUGGAAACGAUAGCUAAUACCGCAUAAGAGCAGAUGUUGCAUGACAUUUGCUUAAAAGGUGCAAUUGCAUCACUACCAGAUGGACCUGCGUUGUAUUAGCUAGUUGGUGGGGUAACGGCUCACCAAGGCGACGAUACAUAGCCGACCUGAGAGGGUGAUCGGCCACACUGGGACUGAGACACGGCCCAGACUCCUACGGGAGGCAGCAGUAGGGAAUCUUCGGCAAUGGACGGAAGUCUGACCGAGCAACGCCGCGUGAGUGAAGAAGGUUUUCGGAUCGUAAAGCUCUGUUGUAAGAGAAGAACGAGUGUGAGAGUGGAAAGUUCACACUGUGACGGUAUCUACCAGAA
Molecule: ribosomal RNA, 475 nt
Filed under: Streptococcus mitis
Lineage: Bacteria; Bacillati; Bacillota; Bacilli; Lactobacillales; Streptococcaceae
Description: bacterial SSU rRNA
Rfam family: Bacterial small subunit ribosomal RNA
Source: RNAcentral